Molecule: ribosomal RNA, 423 nt
Filed under: uncultured bacterium
Lineage: Bacteria
Description: bacterial SSU rRNA
Rfam family: Bacterial small subunit ribosomal RNA
Source: RNAcentral
UAAGGAAUAUUGGUCAAUGGACGCAAGUCUGAACCAGCCAUGCCGCGUGAAGGAUGAAGGUCCUCUGGAUUGUAAACUUCUUUUAUAGGGGACGAAAUCAACAUUUCCAUGUUGUCUGACGGUACCCUAGGAAUAAGCACCGGCUAACUCCGUGCCAGCAGCCGCGGUAAUACGGAGGGUGCAAGCGUUAUCCGGAUUCACUGGGUUUAAAGGGUGCGUAGGAGGGCAGGUAAGUCAGUGGUGAAAUCUCCGGGCUUAACUCGGAAACUGCCGUUGAUACUAUCUGUCUUGAAUAUUGUGGAGGUGAGCGGAAUAUGUCAUGUAGCGGUGAAAUGCUUAGAUAUGACAUAGAACACCGAUUGCGAAGGCAGCUCGCUACACAUAUAUUGACUCUGAGGCACGAAAGCGUGGGGAUCAAACAGG